GUAAGGGAUAUUGCGCAAUGGGCGAAAGCCAGACGCAGCAACGCCGCGUGCCCGAUGAAGGCCUUCGGGUCGUAAAGGGCUUUUCUGGCUGAAGAGCAAGGACGGUAAGCCAGGAAAAAGUGUCGGCUAACUACGUGCCAGCAGCCGCGGUAAAACGUAGGACGCGAGCGUUAUCCGGAGUUACUGGGCGUAAAGGGCGGGCAGGCGGCCGUGUCAGAUGGGUGUGAAAUCUCCCGGCUCAACCGGGAGGGGCCACUCGUGACUGCACGGCUGGAGGGCAGCAGAGGCGCGUGGAAUUCCGGGUGGAGUGGUGAAAUGCGUAGAGAUCCGGAGGAACACCAGAGGCGAAGGCGGCGCGCUGGGCUGCAUCUGACGCUGAACCGCGAAAGCCAGGGUAGCGAACGGGAUUAGAUACCCGGGUAGUCC
This 426-nucleotide ribosomal RNA is filed under the name uncultured bacterium. RNAcentral describes it as "bacterial SSU rRNA". It matches the Rfam family "Bacterial small subunit ribosomal RNA", at positions 354 to 796 of the family's 1533-position model. The record is from RNAcentral.